AAUGGAUAAUUUAAUUCCAGAAUGCUCUCUCUUCUCUCUCUCUCUCUCUCUCCAACUUAGUUUUGAGCAUUGAGAAUUUAGCUUUCAGUAAAAAAAAGAGCUAAUGAAUCCUUGAUUAUGCUGGUUGCCUAUCUAGGCAUGGCAUUGUGAGGCUCAUGGCAUCAAUGAUUUGCAAAUGGCUAGCAUUUUAACAUAAAACAAAUCAUAACUACCUGCAUUCAGAUUUGUUGUGCUUAAUUGAAUGCAUGCUUUCAGCAUUGUUUUUGGUUGCAAAACUUAUUUUAAGUACAAGUCUA
This 296-nucleotide long non-coding RNA is filed under the name Actinidia chinensis (golden kiwifruit). RNAcentral describes it as "long non-coding RNA (ACHI_LNC005925)". Lineage: Eukaryota; Viridiplantae; Streptophyta; Magnoliopsida; Ericales; Actinidiaceae. The record is from RNAcentral.